Molecule: ribosomal RNA, 468 nt
Filed under: uncultured bacterium
Lineage: Bacteria
Description: partial 16S ribosomal RNA
Rfam family: Bacterial small subunit ribosomal RNA
Source: RNAcentral
GACGAACGCUGGCGGCGUGCUUAACACAUGCAAGUCGAACGGAAAGGCCCUGCUUUUGUGGGGUGCUCGAGUGGCGAACGGGUGAGUAACACGUGAGUAACCUGCCCUUGACUUUGGGAUAACUUCAGGAAACUGGGGCUAAUACCGGAUAGGAGCUCCUGCUGCAUGGUGGGGGUUGGAAAGUUUCGGCGGUUGGGGAUGGACUCGCGGCUUAUCAGCUUGUUGGUGGGGUAGUGGCUUACCAAGGCUUUGACGGGUAGCCGGCCUGAGAGGGUGAACGGCCACAUUGGGACUGAGAGACGGCCCAGACUCCUACGGGAGGCAGCAGUGGGGAAUAUGGCGCAAUGGGCGGAAGCCUGAUGCAGCAACGCCGCGUGCGGGAUGACGGCUUUCGAGUUGUGAACCGCUUUCGCCGGUGACGAAGCGUGAGUGACGGUAAUGGGUAAAGAAGCACCGGCUAACUACGUG